AUUGAACGCUGGCGGCAGGCCUAACACAUGCAAGUCGAACGAGUGGCGGACGGGUGAGUAAUGUCUGGGAAACUGCCUGAUGGAGGGGGAUAACUACUGGACACGGUAGCUAAUACCGCAUACCAUCGGAUGUGCCCAGAUGGGAUUAGCUAGUAGGUGGGGUAAUGGCUCACCUAGGCGAUGAUCCCUAGCUGGUCUGAGAGGCUGACCAGCCACACUGGAACUGAGAAACGGUCCAGACUCCUACGGGAGGCAGAAGUGGGGAAUAUUGCACAAGGGGCGCAAGCCGGAUGCAGCCAUGCCGCGUGUGUGAAGAAGGCCUUCGGGUUGUAAAGCACUUUCAGCGGGGAGGCGUUACCCGCAGAAGAAGCACCGGCUAACGCCGUGCCAGCAGCCGCGGUAAUAC
RNAcentral lists this ribosomal RNA (406 nucleotides) under uncultured bacterium. Its description in RNAcentral is "partial 16S ribosomal RNA". It matches the Rfam family "Bacterial small subunit ribosomal RNA", at positions 30 to 526 of the family's 1533-position model. The record is from RNAcentral.